AUUACCUUCAGGAAGCCCGAACACCCCAAAUAUAUUUUUUUUCAUUUUUCAUUUUUAUUUGGUCUAACUAACUCCAAAAGGUUGGAAAAGAGUUCCUACAAAGGUUUUGGACAGUGAUUUUAACCCUAACGCCAAAAACCUUAAACCUUACCAUAGCCCCAAAACUUAUACCCGGGUAUUACCUUCAGGAAGCCCGAACACCCCAAAUAUAUUUUUUUUAUUUUUUUUUUUUAUUUGGUGUAACCAACUCCAAAAGGUCUGAAACAUGUUCCUAAAUAGGUUUUGGACAGUGAUUUUAACCCUAACGCCAAAAACCUUAAACCUUCCCCUAGCCCCAAAACCUAAUACCCGGGUAUUACCUUCAGGAAUCCCGAAAACCCCAAAUAUUUUUUUUUCAUUUUUCAUUUCUUUUUGGUCUAACUAACUCCCAAAGCUUGGAAAAUAGUUCCUACAAAGGUUUUGGACAGUGAUUUUAACCCUAACGCCAAAAACCUUAAACCUUACCCUAGCCCCAAAACCUAAUACCCGUGCAUUAUCUUCAGGAAGCCAAAACAAGCCAAAUAUUUUUUUUUCAUUUUUCAUUUUUAUUUGGUCUAACUAACUCCAAAUGGUUGGAAAAGAGUUCCUACAAAGGUUUUGGACAGUGAUUUUAACCCUAACGCCAAAAACCUUAAACCUUUCCCUAGCCCCAAAACCUAAUACCCAUGUAUUAUCUUCAGGAAGCCCGAACACCACAAAUAUUUUUUUUUCAUUUUUCAUUUCUUUUUGGUCUAACUAACUCCAAAAGGUUGGAAAAGAGUUCCUACAAACGUUUUGGACAGUGAUUUAAACCCUAACGCCAAAACCUUAAACCUUACCCUAGCCCCAAAUCUUAAUACCCGGGUAUUACCUUCAGGAAGCCAAAACACCCCAAAUAUUUUUUUUUCAUUUUUCAUUUUUAUUUGGUCUAACUAACUCCAAAAGGUUGGAAAACAGUUCCUACAAAGGUUUUGGACAGUGAUUUAAACCCUAACGCCAAAACCUUAAACCUUAACCUAGCCCCAACUCUUAAUACCCGGGUAUUACCUUCAGGAAGCCCAAACACCCCAAAUAUAUAUUUUUUCAUUUUUAAUUUUUAUUUGGUCUAACUAACUCCAAAAGGUUGGAAAACAGUUCCUACAAAGGUUUUGGACAGUGAUUUAAACCCUAACGCCAAAACCUUAAACCUUACCCUAGCCCCAACUUUUAAUACCCGGGUAUUACCUUCAGGAAGCCAAAACACCCCAAAUAUUUUUUUUUUCAUUUUUCAUUUUUAUUUGGUCUAACUAACUCCAAAAGGUUGGAAAAGAGUUCCUACAAAGGUUUUGGACAGUGAUUUUAACCCUAACGCCAAAAACCUUAAACCUUACCAUAGCCCCAAAACUUAAUACCCGGGUAUUACCUUCAGGAAGCCCGAACACCCCAAAUAUUUUUUUAUUUUUUAUUUUUAUUUGGUGUAACCAACUCCAAAAGGUCUGAAACAUGUUCCUAAAUAGGUUUUGGACAGUCAUUUUAACCCUAACGCCAAAAACCUUAAACCUUACCCUAGCCCCAAAACCUAAUAUUAUUAAAGUAUUACCUUCAGGAAGCCCGAAAACCCCAAAUAUUUUUUUUUCAUCUUUCUUUUUUUUGGUCUAACUAACUCCAAAAGGUUGGAAAAUAGUUCCUACAAAGGUUUUGGACAGUGAUUUUAACCCUAACGCCAAAAACCUUAAACCUUCCCCUAGCCCCUAAACCUAAUACCUGGGUAUUACCUUCAGGAAGCCCAAACACCCCAAAUAUUUUUUUUUUAUUUUUUAUUUUUAUUUGGUGUAACCAACUCCAAAAGGUCUGAAACAUGUUCCUAAAUAGGUUUUGGACAGUCAUUUUAACCCUAACGCCAAAAACCUUAAACCUUCCCCUAGCCCCAAAACCUAAUACCCGGGUAUUACCUUCAGGAAUCCCGAAAACCCCAAAUAUUUUUUUUUCAUUUUUCAUUAUUUUUUGGUCUAACUAACUCCAAAAGGUUGGAAAAGAGUUCCUACAAAUGUUUUGGACAGUGAUUUAAACCCUAACGCCAAAACCUUUAACCUUACCCUAGCCCCAAAUCUUAAUACCCGGGUAUUACCUUCAGGAAGCCCAAACACCCCAAAUAUUUUUUUUUCAUUUUUCAUUUUUAUUUGGUCUAACUAACUCCCAAAGGUUAGAAAACAGUUCCUACAAAGGUUUUGGACAGUGAUUUAAACCCUAACGCCAAAACCUUAAACCUUACCCUAGCCCCAACUCUUAAAACCCGGGUAUUACCUUCAGGAAGCCCAAACACCCCAAAUAUAUUUUUUUUCAUUUUUCAUUUUUAUUUGGUGUAACUAACUCCAAAAGGUUGGAAAAGAGUUCCUACAAAGGUUUUGGACAGUGAUUUAAACCCUAACGCCAAAACCUUAAACCUUACCAUAGCCCCAAAACUUAUACCCGGGUAUUACCUUCAGGAGGCCCGAACACCCCAAAUAUAUUUUUUUUAUUUUUUAUUUUUAUUUGGUGUAACCAACUCCAAAAGGUCUGAAACAUGUUCCUAAAUAGGUUUUGGACAGUCAUUUUAACCCUAACGCCAAAAACCUUAAACCUUCCCCUAGCCCCAAAACCUAAUACCCGGGUAUUACCUUCAGGAAUCCCGAAAACCCCAAAUAUUUUUUUUUCAUUUUUCAUUUCUUUUUGGUCUAACUAACUCCCAAAGCUUGGAAAAUAGUUCCUACAAAGGUUUUGGACAGUGAUUUAAACCCUAACGCCAAAAACCUUAAACCUUACCCUAGCCCCAAAACCUAAUACCCGUGCAUUAUCUUCAGGAAGCCAAAACAAGCCAAAUAUUUUUUUUUCAUUUUUCAUUUUUAUUUGGUCUAACUAACUCCAAAUGGUUGGAAAAGAGUUCCUACAAAGGUUUUGGACAGUGAUUUUAACCCUAACGCCAAAAACCUUAAACCUUUCCCUAGCCCCAAAACCUAAUACCCAUGUAUUAUCUUCAGGAAGCCCGAACACCACAAAUAUUUUUUUUUCAUUUUUCAUUUCUUUUUGGUCUAACUAACUCCAAAAGGUUGGAAAAGAGUUCCUACAAACGUUUUGGACAGUGAUUUAAACCCUAACGCCAAAACCUUAAACCUUACCCUAGUCCCAAAUCUUAAUACCCGGGUAUAACCUUCAGGAAACCAAAACACCCCAAAUAUUUUUUUUUCAUUUUUCAUUUUUAUUUGGUCUAACUAACUCCAAAAGGUUGGAAAACAGUUCCUACAAAGGUUUUGGACAGUGAUUUAAACCCUAACGCCAAAACCUUAAACCUUAACCUACCCCCAACUCUUAAUACCCGGGUAUUACCUUCAGGAAGCCCAAACACCCCAAAUAUAUAUUUUUUCAUUUUUAAUUUUUAUUUGGUCUAACUAACUCCAAAAGGUUGGAAAACAGUUCCUACAAAGGUUUUGGACAGUGAUUUAAACCCUAACGCCAAAACCUUAAACCUUACCCUAGCCCCAACUCUUAAUACCCGGGUAUUACCUUCAGGAAGCCAAAACACCCCAAAUAUUUUUUUUUUUCAUUUUUCAUUUUUAUUUGGUCUAACUAACUCCAAAAGGUUGGAAAAGAGUUCCUACAAAGGUUUUGGACAGUGAUUUUAACCCUAACGCCAAAAACCUUAAACCUUACCAUAGCCCCAAAACUUAUACCCGGGUAUUACCUUCAGGAAGCCCGAACACCCCAAAUAUUUUUUUUUUAUUUUUUAUUUUUAUUUGGUGUAACCAACUCCAAAAGGUCUGAAACAUGUUCCUAAAUAGGUUUUGGACAGUCAUUUUAACCCUAACGCCAAAAACCUUAAACCUUACCCUAGCCCCAAAACCUAAUACCCGUGCAUUAUCUUCAGGAAGCCAAAACAAGCCAAAUAUUUUUUUUUCAUUUUUCAUUUUUAUUUGGUCUAACUAACUCCAAAUGGUUGGAAAAGAGUUCCUACAAAGGUUUUGGACAGUGAUUUUAACCCUAACGCCAAAAACCUUAAACCUUUCCCUAGCCCCAAAACCUAAUACCCAUGUAUUAUCUUCAGGAAGCCCGAACACCACAAAUAUUUUUUUUUCAUUUUUCAUUUCUUUUUGGUCUAACUAACUCCAAAAGCUUGGAAAAUAGUUCCUACAAACGUUUUGGACAGUGAUUUAAACCCUUACGCCAUAACCUUAAACCUUACCCCAGCCCCAAAUCUUAAUACCCGGGUAUUACCUUCAGGAAGCCCAAACACCCCAAAUAUUUUUUUUUCAUUUUUCAUUUCUUUUUGGUCUAACUAACUCCAAAAGGUUGGAAAACAGUUCCUGCAAACGUUUUGGACAGUGAUUUAAACCCUUUCGCCAAAACCUUAAACCUUACCCCAGCCCCAAAUAUUACCUUCAGGAAGCCCAAACACCCCAAAUAUUUUUUUUUCAUUUUUCAUUUUUAUUUGGUCUAACUAACUCCAAAAGCUUGGAAAAUAGUUCCUACAAACGUUUUGGACAGUGAUUUAAACCCUAACGCCAAAACCUUAAACCUUACCCCAGCCCCAAAUCUUAAUAACCGGGUAUUACCUUCAGGAAGCCCAAACACCCCAAAUAUUUUUUUUUCAUUUUUCAUUUUUAUUUGGUCUAACUAAAACCAAAUGGUUGGAAAAGAGUUCCUACAAAGGUUUUGGACAGUGAUUUUAACCCUAACGCCAAAAACCUUAAACCUUCCCCUAGCCCCAAAACCUAAUACCCGGGUAUUACCUUCAGGAAGCCCGAAAACCCCAAAUAUUUUUUUUUCAUUUUUCAUUUCUUUUUGGUCUAACUAACUCCCAAAGCUUGGAAAAUAGUUCCUACAAAGUUUUUGGACAGUGAUUUUAACCCUAACGCCAAAAACCUUAAACCUUACCCUAGCCCCAAAACCUAAUACCCGUGCAUUAUCUUCAGGAAGCCCAAACAAGCCAAAUAUCUUUUUUUCAUUUUUCAUUUUUAUUUGGUCUAACUAACUCCAAAUGGUUGGAAAAGAGUUCCUACAAAGGUUUUGGACAGUGAUUUUAACCCUAACGCCAAAAACCUUAAACCUUUCCCUAGCCCCAAAACCUAAUACCCGUGUAUUACCUUCAGGAAGCCCAAACACCCCAAAUAUUUUUUUUUCAUUUUUCAUUUUUAUUUGGUCUAACUAACUCCCAAAGGUUGGAAAACAGUUCCUACAAAGGUUUUGGACAGUGAUUUAAACCCUAACGCCAAAACCUUAAACCUUACCCUAGCCCCAACUCUUAAUACCUGUGCAUUAUCUUCAGGAAGCCCAAACACCCCAAAUAUUUUUUUUUUCAUUUUUCAUUUUUAUUUGGUCUAACUAACUCCAAAAGGUUGGAAAAGAGUUCCUACAAAGGUUUUGGACAGUGAUUUUAACCCUAACGCCAAAAACCUUAAACCUUACCAUCGCCCCAAAACUCCUGGGUAUUACCUUCAGGAAGCCUGAACACCCCAAAUAUUUUUUUUCAAUUUUUUUAUUUCAUUUGGUGUAACCAACUCCAAAAGGUCUGAAACAUGUUCCUAAAUAGGUUUUGGACAGUCAUUUUAACCCUAACGCCAAAAACCUAAAACCUUCCCCUAGCCCCAAAACCUAAUACCCGGGUAUUACCUUCAGGAAGCCCGAAAACCCCAAAUAUUUUUUUUUCAUUUUUCAUUUCUUUUUGGUCUAACUAACUCCCAAAGCUUGGAAAAUAGUUCCUACAAAGGUUUUGGACAGUGAUUUUAACCCUAACGCCAAAAACCUUAAACCUUACCCUAGCCCCAAAACCUAAUACCCGUGCAUUAUCUUCAGGAAGCCAAAACAAGCAAAAUAUUUUUUUUUCAUUUUUCAUUUUUAUUUGGUCUAACUAACUCCAAAUGGUUGGAAAAGAGUUCCUACAAAGGUUUUGGACAGUGAUUUUAACCCUAACGCCAAAAACCUUAAACCUUUCCCUAGCCCCAAAAUCUAAUACCCGUGUAUUAUCUUCAGGAAGCCCGAACACCACAAAUAUUUUUUUUUCAUUUUUCAUUUCUUUUUGGUCUAACUAACUCCAAAAGCUUGGAAAAUAGUUCCUACAAACGUUUUGGACAGUGAUUUAAAUCCUAACGCCAAAACCUUAAACCUUACCCUAGCACCAAAUCUUAAUACCCAGGUAUUACCUUCAGGAAGCCCAAACACCCCAAAUAUUUUUUUUUCAUUUUUCAUUUUUAAUUUGGUCUAACUAACUCCAAAAGGUUGGAAAACAGUUCCUACAAAGGUUUUGGACAGUGAUUUAAACCCUAACGCCAAAACCUUAAACCUUACCCUAGCCCCAAGUCUUAAUACCCGGGUAUUACCUUCAGGAAGCCCCAACACCCCAAAUAUAUUUUUUUUCAUUUUUCAUUUUUAUUUGGUCUAACUCCAAAAGGUUGGAAAAGAGAUCCUACAAAGGUUUUGGACAGUGAUUUUAACCCUAACGCCCAAAACCUUAAACCUUACCAUAGCCCCAUAACCUAAUACCCGGGUAUUACCUUCAGGAAGCCCGAACACCCCAAAUAUUUUUUUUUCAUUUUUCUUUUUUUUUGGUCUAACUAACUCCAAAAGCUUGGAAAAGAGAUCCUACAAAGGUUUUGGACAGUGAUUUUAACCCUAACGCCAAAAACCUUAAACCUUACCAUAGCCCCAUAACCUAAUACCCGUGCA
RNAcentral lists this long non-coding RNA (6693 nucleotides) under Xyrichtys novacula (pearly razorfish). Lineage: Eukaryota; Metazoa; Chordata; Actinopteri; Labriformes; Labridae. The record is from RNAcentral.